GGCAGGCUUAACACAUGCAAGUCGAGCGGUAACAUUUCUAGCUUGCUAGAAGAUGACGAGCGGCGGACGGGUGAGUAACGCGUAGGAAUCUGCCUAGUAGUGGGGGACAACAUGUGGAAACGCAUGCUAAUACCGCAUACGCCCUACGGGGGAAAGGAGGGGAUCUUCGGACCUUUCGCUAUUAGAUGAGCCUGCGUGAGAUUAGCUAGUUGGUGGGGUAAAGGCCUACCAAGGCGACGAUCUCUAGCUGGUCUGAGAGGAUGAUCAGCCACACUGGGACUGAGACACGGCCCAGACUCCUACGGGAGGCAGCAGUGGGGAAUAUUGGACAAUGGGCGCAAGCCUGAUCCAGCCAUGCCGCGUGUGUGAAGAAGGCCUUAGGGUUGUAAAGCACUUUCAGGAGUGAGGAAGGGCGUAUAGUUAAUACCUGUAUGUUUUGACGUUAACUCCAGAAGAAGCACCGGCUAACUCUGUGCCAGCAGCCGCGGUAAUACAGAGGGUGCGAGC
RNAcentral lists this ribosomal RNA (507 nucleotides) under uncultured bacterium. RNAcentral's name for it is "bacterial SSU rRNA". It matches the Rfam family "Bacterial small subunit ribosomal RNA", at positions 41 to 539 of the family's 1533-position model. The record is from RNAcentral.